This 772-nucleotide long non-coding RNA is filed under the name Homo sapiens (human). Its description in RNAcentral is "HSALNT0295445". The record is from RNAcentral. Lineage: Eukaryota; Metazoa; Chordata; Mammalia; Primates; Hominidae.
AGUCCUAACCUCCCUACCUCCAGGUGGAGGAUAUUCUGUUCUCUGCCUGGCACCUUCCUGGGAGGCAGGGUGGCCAGGGCACAGGGCUCUGCUGGUCCUGCAGGGUACAAGGGAUCUUCCAUACUUCCUCCGUCUUGGGAAGGAGAAGCAGCAAUGCUGUGUCUCAGCUACAACCUGGAGGGAGAGCCUUUGCCCUGCCUACCCCUCCUUAUAGUGUUGGCAGUGUGGGCAGCCCUGUGCUGUUUGAUCUUGGGCCGCUUGCAUCUCUAGAUAUCUAUGAACAUAUUUACUGACUCAGGAGCAGUAGCCAAUGAAACGCCACAUGUGGUAGGCAGCUUUACUUGUUGACAAUGAUGUGUGCACUCCCCGAUGGCUGCACUCCUCUGGAGGUGGAGAAGACAUCCCUAUUGGCCUUGGGCUGGGCCAUGGGACUUACCUUGUCAAGUGGAGUAUGAGCAGACAUGCCCUAUGCCAUGGCAGAGCUGAAGAUGCUAAUGAGCUGGUGUGGUUUGGCUGUGUCCCCUUCAGAGCCUGUGCUCCACAGUGAAAACAGGUUAUCUUAGACGAUGGCCAUCCCGUUGCUAUGGGUCACUGAAUGAAAAGAUAAAUGGAGAUCUGUGGAGACCACCAGAGCCAAAGCCAAUUCACAGCCCUCAAGAAAUAAAUGUUUGUGUUUGUAAGCCACUCAGAUUUGGGAGUUAUAUGUUGCUGCAGCAAAAUCUGACUAAUCCAGUCAGAUUCUGUGCUAAGAACUUUCAAAUGUUACCUCAUU